CAGUCGCCGCGGGAAUACGUAGGGUGCGAGCGUUAAUCGGAAUUACUGGGCGUAAAGCGUGCGCAGGCGGUUCGUUAAGACAGAUGUGAAAUCCCCGGGCUUAACCUGGGAACUGCAUUUGUGACUGGCGAGCUAGAGUAUGGCAGAGGGGGGUAGAAUUCCACGUGUAGCAGUGAAAUGCGUAGAGAUGUGGAGGAAUACCGAUGGCGAAGGCAGCCCCCUGGGCCAAUACUGACGCUCAUGCACGAAAGCGUGGGGAGCAAACAGGAUUAGAUACCCCAGUAGUCCCUGUCUCUUAUAC
This 301-nucleotide ribosomal RNA is filed under the name uncultured bacterium. RNAcentral describes it as "partial 16S ribosomal RNA". It matches the Rfam family "Bacterial small subunit ribosomal RNA", at positions 509 to 807 of the family's 1533-position model. The record is from RNAcentral.